Molecule: long non-coding RNA, 104 nt
Organism: Aricia agestis (brown argus)
Lineage: Eukaryota; Metazoa; Arthropoda; Insecta; Lepidoptera; Lycaenidae
Exons: 3
Source: RefSeq, a predicted model, not a curated record
CGUGGUGUAAGCUUCACCUCGACAGUUCGAUUGGUAAUUGUUCUAUUAAUGCCCCAGAAUACGAGUUUUAUGUAUCAUUCGAACUUGCCAGUAGACAUGAAUAC